Molecule: ribosomal RNA, 433 nt
Filed under: uncultured bacterium
Lineage: Bacteria
Description: partial 16S ribosomal RNA
Rfam family: Bacterial small subunit ribosomal RNA
Source: RNAcentral
AGCGAACGCUGGCGGCAGGCUUAACACAUGCAAGUCGAGCGGGCCUUUCGGGGUCAGCGCCGGACGGGUGAGUAACGCGUGGGAACGUGCCCUCUGGUUCGGAAUAACUCAGGGAAACUUGAGCUAAUACCGGAAACGCCCUUUUGGGGAAAGGCUUUCUGCCGGAGGAUCGGCCCGCGUCUGAUUAGCUGGUUGGUGAGGUAACGCCUCACCAAGGCGACGAUCAGUAGCUGGUCUGAGAGGAUGAUCAGCCACACUGGGACUGAGACACGGCCCAGACUCCUACGGGAGGCAGCAGUGGGGAAUAUUGGACAAUGGGCGCAAGCCUGAUCCAGCCAUGCCGCGUGAGUGAUGAAGGCCUUAGGGUUGUAAAGCUCUUUUAUCCGGGACGAUAAUGACGGUACCGGAGGAAUAAGCCCCGGCUAACUUCGUG